CGGAGGCCGGCGCCGGGUUCAAGUAAUCCAGGAUAGGCUGUGGUCUGCGCAGUCGGCCUGUUCUCGAUUACUUGGCGCCGGAGCCGGCCGGCAGCU
MicroRNA precursor from Terrapene triunguis (Three-toed box turtle), 96 nucleotides. The record is from Ensembl. Lineage: Eukaryota; Metazoa; Chordata; Testudines; Emydidae.